GCUUGUCUCAAAGAUUAAGCCAUGCAUGUCUAAGUAUAAAUAACUACACAGUAAAACUGCGAAUGGCUCAUUAAAACAGUUAUAGUUUAUUUGAUAUAUUAUAUGGAUAACUGUAGAAAAACUAGAGCUAAUACAUGCCAUAACCGUAAGGUUGUAUUUAUUAGAUAUUCCUGGUAGGUGAUUCAUAAUAACUGAUCGAAUCGCAAGGCCUUUGGCCGCGAUAAGUCAUUCAAGUUUCUGCCCCAUCAGCUUUCGAUGGUAGUGUAUUGGACUACCAUGGCGUUCACGGGUAACGGAGAAUUAGGGUUCGAUUCCGGAGAGGGAGCCUGAGAAACGGCUACCACAUCCAAGGAAGGCAGCAGG
Molecule: ribosomal RNA, 363 nt
Filed under: Apodileptus visscheri
Lineage: Eukaryota; Ciliophora; Litostomatea; Haptorida; Dileptidae
Description: partial small subunit ribosomal RNA
Rfam family: Eukaryotic small subunit ribosomal RNA
Source: RNAcentral